This 1057-nucleotide ribosomal RNA is filed under the name Papillospora hebetiseta. RNAcentral's name for it is "LSU rRNA". It matches the Rfam family "Eukaryotic large subunit ribosomal RNA", at positions 40 to 1133 of the family's 3401-position model. The record is from RNAcentral. Lineage: Eukaryota; Fungi; Ascomycota; Sordariomycetes; Chaetosphaeriales; Chaetosphaeriaceae.
AUAUCAAUAAGCGGAGGAAAAGAAACCAACAGGGAUUGCCCUAGUAACGGCGAGUGAAGCGGCAACAGCUCAAAUUUGAAAUCUCCUUCGGGCGAGUUGUAAUUUGCAGAGGAUGCUUCGGGCGCGGCGCCUUCCAAGUCCCCUGGAACGGGGCGCCUUAGAGGGUGAGAGCCCCGUACGGUUGGACGCCUAGCCUGUGUGAAGCUCCUUCAACGAGUCGAGUAGUUUGGGAAUGCUGCUCAAAAUGGGAGGUAGACCCCUUCUAAAGCUAAAUACCGGCCAGAGACCGAUAGCGCACAAGUAGAGUGAUCGAAAGAUGAAAAGCACUUUGAAAAGAGGGUUAAACAGCACGUGAAAUUGUUGAAAGGGAAGCGCUUGUGACCAGACUUGCGCCGGGGCGAUCAUCUGGCGUUCUCGCCGGUGCACUCGCCCCGGCUCAGGCCAGCGUCGGUUUGGGAGGGGGGACAAAGGCGGCAGGAACGUGGCUCCCCCGGGAGUGUUAUAGCCUGCCGCGCCAUGCCCCCUCCCGGACCGAGGUUCGCGCUCUGCAAGGACGCUGGCGUAAUGGUCAUCAGCGGCCCGUCUUGAAACACGGACCAAGGAGUCGAGGUUCUGCGCGAGUGUUUGGGUGUCAAACCCGCACGCGUAAUGAAAGUGAACGUAGGUGAGAGCUUCGGCGCACCACCGACCGAUCCUGAUGUUCUCGGAUGGAUUUGAGUAAGAGCGUUGGGCCUCGGACCCGAAAGAUGGUGAACUAUGCUUGGAUAGGGUGAAGCCAGAGGAAACUCUGGUGGAGGCUCGCAGCGGUUCUGACGUGCAAAUCGAUCGUCAAAUCUGAGCAUGGGGGCGAAAGACUAAUCGAACCAUCUAGUAGCUGGUUACCGCCGAAGUUUCCCUCAGGAUAGCAGUGUUGUCUUCAGUUUUAUGAGGUAAAGCGAAUGAUUAGGGACUCGGGGGCGCUAUAUUGCCUUCAUCCAUUCUCAAACUUUAAAUAUGUAAGAAGCCCUUGUUGCUUAAUUGAACGUGGGCAUUCGAAUGCAUCAACACUAGUGGGCCA